Molecule: non-coding RNA, 82 nt
Organism: Eublepharis macularius
Lineage: Eukaryota; Metazoa; Chordata; Lepidosauria; Squamata; Eublepharidae
Source: the annotation of a RefSeq genome assembly
GACAAGGUGGCUGAGUGGUGAAGGCGAUGGACCGUUAAUUAAUUGUGCUCUGCACGCGUGGGUUUGAAUCCCACCCUCGUCA